GAAAUGCGUAGAGAUCUGGAGGAAUACCGGUGGCGAAGGCGGCCCCCUGGACGAAGACUGACGCUCAGGUGCGAAAGCGUGGGGAGCAAACAGGAUUAGAUACCCUGGUAGUCCACGCCGUAAACGAUGUCGACUUGGAGGUUGUGCCCUUGAGGCGUGGCUUCCGGAGCUAACGCGUUAAGUCGACCGCCUG
RNAcentral lists this ribosomal RNA (193 nucleotides) under Cronobacter dublinensis 582. RNAcentral's name for it is "Small Subunit Ribosomal RNA; ssuRNA; SSU rRNA". It matches the Rfam family "Bacterial small subunit ribosomal RNA", at positions 683 to 875 of the family's 1533-position model. Lineage: Bacteria; Pseudomonadati; Pseudomonadota; Gammaproteobacteria; Enterobacterales; Enterobacteriaceae. The record is from RNAcentral. RNAcentral also lists the same sequence under 1 other name.